This 3564-nucleotide unclassified non-coding RNA is filed under the name Leishmania donovani. Its description in RNAcentral is "gene:LdHU3.26.0470(CDS-product:TPR_repeat/Tetratr icopeptide_repeat_putative)". Lineage: Eukaryota; Euglenozoa; Kinetoplastea; Trypanosomatida; Trypanosomatidae. The record is from RNAcentral.
UUCUCUGCGACUCUUGUGCACUGCUGUCUUCUCGUGCCGUGUGUGCUGACCGAGGCCAUUCGCCGCCCCUCCAUCUCCCCAUCCCUUGCGUCGUCAGCUCCCGGUCGACGGCGCAUCGCACACAGGGGAGAAGGCUUGUGCACGUUGCGCACCGUAUCUCUCACUUACGCCCCCCCCCCCCCCCCCGCAUUGAGAUAAGGCGAGAGGGACACGCAGGUGCGGUGGCACGCGUAUGUAUGCCGCCUUCACGUGCAUAGGGGGUUGCGCAUUUCGUAACGCAGCGUAAGGACUCGCUUUACGGCCACACACAAGCUCCAGCACACCUCGCGUCCAUGAGGGCGACACGCACGACGAAGGGCCUCGUCGAGGCUGCCAGGCAGUGUCUUGCGGAGGGCACGUUUGCGCCGGAAAAGGCGGCCGAGCUUCUCCAAGCCGCGGUUCAGCAGGACCCCACGUAUGUGCAUGCGCUCGUGCUGCGGUCCACCUUGGCUUCCCGCCUUGGUCACCUAACGUCGGCCCUCGCCGACAUGUCACUCGCAAUCGAGGUGGACAAAGGCAGCAAUGACCCGCGCCGCCUCGCAUCCCUCUACGGGGGUCGGGCAAACCUGUGCUACCGCAUGGGCCGGUACGCGGACGCCGUCACCGACUUGCGCAGCGCGCUGCGGUGGGAGCCGGAUAAUGGGAUGUGGUGCUACGAGCUUGGUCGUGUGCACAUGCAGCAGGGCUGUGUGAGCCUCGCGCAGUGGUGCCUCCAGCAGGCCCUGCAGGAGCCGAUGUGGUCUCGCGUCAACGAGGCUACGCGGCCGAAGGUGUACGCCCUCUACGGCCGCAGCUGCCUCAGAAGCCGCGAGUACAAGAAGGCAAAGAUGCUGCUGGGCAAGUCUGUCGAGGUGGGAGGGGAGGGGCCCGCCUCCGUGCUGCACGACAUGGGACUUGCCCACUACUUCGAGGGCACGUCCCUUGUUCAGGCCGUCGAGUACCUGACGCGGGCGACGGAGAUGGACGCACAAACGCUGGAGUUCCCCAUGCACCUUAGCCUCGCACUCGUGCGCAGGAAGCGGUACGCCGAAGCACUGUCCAGGAUGAAUGAGGCGGUCCUGCGAGGCCAGGAAGAGCACAGCCUUCGGUUCUACCGUGGCUGCAUCGAGAUGGAGUUGGGCAUGGGCCCGCAGGCACUCAUGGACUUGCAAGCAUCUACAGUAAUGGAAACAGCCAGGCAAGAACCGGCGGGAACGACACCGCAGAAGACCGCCGCGCACGCGUGCCUUGCUAUGGGUCUGACUCACAUCUUCUGCGACAAGGACCUCCCCUCCGCGGCAGCGUCCCUUGAGUCCGAGACGUUGCAGCAGACCCGAGAGGUGUCGAUCCGGUUGUACGCUAGUUUGCUGCUCGGGAUUGUGCGCCACGAAGAGGGCGACCGGCAUGCAGCGCUUCGGGCGCUGCAGAACACGCUGCAGGUGCUGAGGGAGACCGCUUGCGCCCACCGCAGCGGCGGCGGCGACGAGGAGCGGCCCUCGCGCAUGAGCGAGCUGCCAGUGUGCGUUGCAGAUGUGGAGAUACUGACACUCACACACCUCGGACUCGUGUAUAGCGACUACGGCUACACCGACCUCGCCGCGCGCCACUUCCGCGAGGCUCGCCAGCGCUCCACCCGGCAUCAGCUCGACGCCGCGCAGAGAGACAUCUGCUUCUUCCGACUUGCUGUGUCGGAGGUGGAAGUGAAGGACCACCUCGGAGCGCUGCAGACGCUGCAAGCCAGACCCUUCAGCGAAGGUGAGCCAUCUAUAAAGACUGCCGACCCACCCUCACCACCGCUUGCGGAGGCAUCCCAGAGUAACUCCACACCUGCAGAGGUGACCGACGCCAAGGAACCUAGCAAUGAGUCGUCGACAGAGCGUGCGAAGCACGAGCCGCACACGGUUCGACCUACUAGUACCUCCCAUGCUGCGUGCCACCGCGUGUUGCCGGGAGAGGUGGAACACCUGCACGCCGUUAUUCUUAGACGACUGGGUCGACUGGAACUGGCGCUCUCCUGGGCGACCGCCGCGAUCGAGGCUAGUCAGAGUGUGGCCGGCCAAACCUCUCACAUCGCCUCCUUGGCUUGUGGCCGAGCUGUGCCGGCCUUUCUUUAUAACCGCGCGCUGGUCUUCUUUUCUCUAGCCCGCUAUGCGGAGGCGCUGGCGGACGUGCAGGAGUGCACUCGCGCCUGCAGCGAGGCCGAGCGCGCAGUGGCGCUCGGUGCUGAGGCGGCUGACCCCUACUACCUGCAAGGUCGCAUCCAUCAUUCCCUCGGUGCGCACAGUGCCGCCCUUGACAGUCUCACUGAGGCGCUGAAGCUCAACCCCUCGCUGCAGCGCACUCCGCCUUUUGCAUAUGCGUAUGGUGUACUGCUCGCGAUUGCGGGGCGACUUAGCGAGGCCCUCGCCGCUUUCACCGCUGCCAUCAUCGCCCAUACCGAGGAGGCUGCUGCGGCGGCCACGGCACGUAGGGAAGAGCACCCGGUGCUGGGUGGUGGGGCGGAGUGCGCGCCGCUUGGAUACUAUCAUGAGCGUGCGAAGAUAUAUCAGCAGCUCGGUAGCUACGCAGAUGCUCUCAGGGACUACAACGUGGUUCUGGGGCGCGCCCCAGGCGCACCGCUGGCAGCGCCUCUUGUAGGCGGCACGUCAACCACGGCGUCCCCCUCGGCGUGGAACGCGCUGGUGAACCGCGCACUCACGCUAAAGGAGCUGAAGCGGUACGACGAGGCAGCGAUGGACUGGGACGCUGCGCUGCGUAGCGAUCGCAGCGGCCUCCUUGCCACCUUAACGAGCCACGACGUGUACGAGCUAUCGUACAUGCACCUGUGCUUACCUGGCGAGGAGCUGACCGCUGUAGCGGUUGAGGAGCCGUCGUAGCGCACCGCCUGCGUGCUCUCCCCGCUCCUUUCUCUGUAUGGGCUGGUGGCGGCCUCUUUUACUGACCUCUGGCCGCGCGCGUCAGCGCACGAUCGGCGAGGCCGUUGUGGCACCUCCCAUGGUGUGCCAAGCCGCCCUUUUCUAGUUCGUGCUCGCGCGUCGCCAUCUCGCUCUCUGUUCUCCAUGUAAACUACCUGUCCGCUGCCUCGCGUCGCUUGCUCGACUUUGCUGAGGUGUGGAACCGAAGCAGCAACACCGAAAGUUUCAUGCGCGCACAGGGUCUUGGGCGUUGUGCAUGCAUCUGCGUGUCGAUCUGUAUCGGUCGUUGCAGACGUACGCGUGUGUGUGACCCUCGCCACCCCCUCCUGCCGAGCCACGCUCGGAUCCUCGCCCGCCUCGCCCCGCUACAGGUAGACAGGCAGGCAGGCGCUUCGCGGACGGAGUUGGAUGCGCAACAACGCGUCUGCGCCCCGCUCGUAGCAAGUGGCGCCUCGGAGAGGCAAAAGAGCUCCUUUCUGUGACCAGCAGACGAACUUCCUCCUCCCAAGGCGCGCCGUUGCAGACGCUAUAAUGACAUGAAGUGCCUUGCGUGUGAUUGGCCCUUCGCACGCCCCCGCGCGACGUGCGCGCCCCCUCGCUCUCACGGCGUGCGGGACGGGCGAACUUUCAC